Molecule: unclassified non-coding RNA, 253 nt
Filed under: uncultured Bacillaceae bacterium
Lineage: Bacteria; Bacillati; Bacillota; Bacilli; Caryophanales; Bacillaceae
Description: contains 16S-23S intergenic spacer region
Rfam family: Bacterial small subunit ribosomal RNA
Source: RNAcentral
UACGUAGGGGGCAAUCGUUGUCCGGAAUUAUUGGUCGUAAAGCGCGCGCAGGCCGUUCCUUAAGAAGGAUGUGAAACCCCACGGCUUAACCGUGGAGGGUCAUUGGAAACUGGGGAACUUGAGUACAGAAGAGGAGAGUGGAAUUCCACGUGUAGCGGUGAAAUGCGUAGAUAUGUGGAGGAACACCAGUGGCGAAGGCGACUCUCUGGUCUGUAACUGACGCUGCGGCGCGAAAGCGUGGGGAGCGAACAGG